This 305-nucleotide ribosomal RNA is filed under the name uncultured bacterium. Its description in RNAcentral is "bacterial SSU rRNA". It matches the Rfam family "Bacterial small subunit ribosomal RNA", at positions 335 to 657 of the family's 1533-position model. The record is from RNAcentral.
UAGCCUACGGGAGGCAGCAGUGGGGAAUAUUGCACAAUGGGGGGAACCCUGAUGCAGCGACGCCGCGUGGAGGAUGAAGGUUUUCGGAUUAUAAACUCCUUUUGUUAGAGAAGACAAUGACGGUAUCUAACGAAUAAGCACCGGCUAACUCCGUGCCAGCAGCCGCGGUAAUACGGAGGGUGCAAGCGUUACUCGGAAUCACUGGGCGUAAAGAGCGCGUAGGCGGGAUAGCAAGUCAGAUGUGAAAUCCUAUGGCUUAACCAUAGAACUGCAUUUGAAACUGUUAUUCUAGAGUAUGGGAGAGG